This 150-nucleotide small RNA is filed under the name Kushneria indalinina DSM 14324. RNAcentral's name for it is "PrrF RNA". Lineage: Bacteria; Pseudomonadati; Pseudomonadota; Gammaproteobacteria; Oceanospirillales; Halomonadaceae. The record is from RNAcentral.
UUGACUGGCCAAAUGAGAAUGGUUAUCUUUGAGAUGUGGUGAUCGCCAGUCACCACAUGAACAACCCGAUAUGUCAGGUAUCGAGUGGUUCAUCUCCUCAUCAAGCUAGUCACGGUCCUUGAGCCGCCCGAUUGGGCGGCUUUUUUACGU